CCUGGACUCUGUGUUGGCCCUCACUGCAUGCUGGGACAUACGGGGGAGGGAGGAGGGGGAGUCUCGGCAGCAGUCUGUGGUGUGUGUACAGAAGAGUGAUGUACUCAGCCCCUGCAGUGAAGAGCCUUGAUGAAGCCAGAGCCAGGAGGUGCACAGUGUGGAACUUGUGGAAAAAGAAAACACAUUACCUGCCAACUGUCUAGAUGUGAUCAUAUACUUUACACCAUUGACAUCUGUGAAAAGAAAUAUGAGGUGUCAUUGUAAACCAACUAUGAAUAACAACAGGCUCGGAGCGGUGCGGUACAGAUGUAACAAAAAGAGCUCUUUUUUCUUUUUCUUUAAUGAAUUGUAAAAAAGUGGUUACUUUAUUUAU
This is a long non-coding RNA of Pseudophryne corroboree (corroboree frog), 373 nucleotides long. RefSeq lists it as uncharacterized. The transcript has 3 exons. The record is from RefSeq and is a predicted model, not a curated record. NCBI's taxonomy places the organism in Eukaryota, Metazoa, Chordata, Amphibia, Anura, Myobatrachidae.